AGAUGUGAGGGCAAUCUGGCUGCGACAUCUGUCACCCCAUUGAUCGCCAGGGUUGAUUCGGCUGAUCUGGCUGGCUAAGCGGGUGUCCCCUUCCUCCCUCACCACUCCAUGUGCAUCCCUCCCAAAGCUGUGUGCUCGGUCGAAGAGGACGACCUUCCCCGAUAGAGGAGGACCGUUCUUCGGUCAAGGGUAUAUGAGUAGCUGCGCUCCCCUGCUAGAACCUCCAAACAAGCUCUCAAGGUCCAUUUGUAGGAGAACGUAGGGCAGUCAAGCUUCCAAGACUCCAGACACAUCCAAAUGAGGCGCUGCACGUGGCAGUCUGCCUUUCUUU
RNAcentral lists this small nuclear RNA (331 nucleotides) under Panthera pardus (leopard). Its description in RNAcentral is "7SK RNA (ENSPPRG00000015241.1)". It matches the Rfam family "7SK RNA". Rfam says of the family: 7SK was discovered as an abundant small nuclear RNA in the mid-70s but a possible function has only recently been suggested. Two independent studies have found that 7SK RNA binds the CDK9/cyclin T complex (known as elongation factor P-TEFb). P-TEFb activates transcription by phosphorylating the C-terminal domain of RNA polymerase II. Lineage: Eukaryota; Metazoa; Chordata; Mammalia; Carnivora; Felidae. The record is from RNAcentral.